CCUGUAUCCAGUCAGGAGUUUGCACAGGUGCUGCAUGGCUGUCGUCAGCUCGUGCCGUGAGGUGUUAGGUUAAGUCCUGCAACGAGCGCAACCCUCGUCGCUAGUGUUUUCUCUAGCGAUACUGCCCGUAUAACGUGGAGGAAGGUGGGGAUGACGUCAAGUCAGCAUGGCCCUUACAUCCUGGGCUACACACACGCUACAAUGGGUGAUACAACAGGUUGCAAUAGAGUAAUCUGGAGCCAAUCCCUAAAAUCAUCCUCAGUACGGAUUGCAGGCUGCAACUGCCUGCAUGAAGUUGGAGUUGCUAGUAAACGCAGGUCAGCACACUGCGUUGAAUACGUUCUCGGGCCUU
RNAcentral lists this ribosomal RNA (352 nucleotides) under uncultured Chloroflexota bacterium. RNAcentral's name for it is "bacterial SSU rRNA". It matches the Rfam family "Bacterial small subunit ribosomal RNA", at positions 1014 to 1382 of the family's 1533-position model. The record is from RNAcentral. Lineage: Bacteria; Bacillati; Chloroflexota.